RNAcentral lists this ribosomal RNA (253 nucleotides) under uncultured bacterium. Its description in RNAcentral is "partial 16S ribosomal RNA". It matches the Rfam family "Bacterial small subunit ribosomal RNA", at positions 524 to 776 of the family's 1533-position model. The record is from RNAcentral.
UACAGAGGUCUCAAGCGUUGUUCGGAUUCAUUGGGCGUAAAGGGUGUGUAGGUGGCGCCGUAAGUCGGGUGUGAAAUUUCGGAGCUUAACUCCGAAACUGCAUUCCAUACUGCGGUGCUUGAGGACUGGAGAGGAGACUGGAAUUUACGGUGUAGCAGUGAAAUGCGUAGAGAUCGUAAGGAAGACCAGUGGCGAAGGCGGGUCUCUGGACAGUUCCUGACACUGAGGCACGAAGGCCAGGGGAGCAAACGGG